This 712-nucleotide ribosomal RNA is filed under the name Acrocordia subglobosa. RNAcentral's name for it is "bacterial SSU rRNA". It matches the Rfam family "Eukaryotic small subunit ribosomal RNA", at positions 202 to 818 of the family's 1831-position model. Lineage: Eukaryota; Fungi; Ascomycota; Dothideomycetes. The record is from RNAcentral.
UGUAUUUAUUAGAUAAAAAACCGACGCCCUUCGGGGCUCCCCGGUGAUUCAUGAUAACUCAACGAAUCGCAUGGCCUUGCGCCGGCGAUGGUUCAUUCAAAUUUCUGCCCUAUCAACUUUCGAUGGUAGGAUAGUGGCCUACCAUGGUUUCAACGGGGUGAGUGCUGCCGCCCCCCGCGCCCGCGACCGCCCGCUAACCGGCCGCAGUAACGGGGAAUUAGGUGGGUGCCCGCCGACCGUCCGGCGCCGCUGCCCGAAUGCUAACGGCCGACAGGGUUCGACUCCGGAGAGGGAGCCUGAGAAACGGCUACCACAUCCAAGGAAGGCAGCAGGCGCGCAAAUUACCCAAUCCCGACACGGGGAGGUAGUGACAAUAAAUACUGAUACAGGGCUCUUUUGGGUCUUGUAAUUGGAAUGAGUACAAUCUAAAUCCCUUAACGAGGAACAAUUGGAGGGCAAGUCUGGUGCCAGCAGCCGCGGUAAUUCCAGCUCCAAUAGCGUAUAUUUAAGUUGUUGCAGUUAAAAAGCUCGUAGUUGAACCUUGGGCCUGGCUGGCCGGUCCGCCUCACCGCGUGCACUGGUCCGGCCGGGCCUUUCCUCCCGGGGAACCGCAUGCCCUUCGCUGGGCGUGCCGGGGAACCGGGACUUUUACUUUGAAAAAAUUAGAGUGUUCAAAGCAGGCCCUCGCUCGGAUACAUUAGCAUGGAAUAAU